Molecule: transfer RNA, 72 nt
Filed under: Toxocara canis (dog roundworm)
Lineage: Eukaryota; Metazoa; Nematoda; Chromadorea; Rhabditida; Toxocaridae
Rfam family: tRNA
About the family: Transfer RNA (tRNA) molecules are approximately 80 nucleotides in length. Their secondary structure includes four short double-helical elements and three loops (D, anti-codon, and T loops). Further hydrogen bonds mediate the characteristic L-shaped molecular structure. tRNAs have two regions of fundamental functional importance: the anti-codon, which is responsible for specific mRNA codon recognition, and the 3' end, to which the tRNAs corresponding amino acid is attached (by aminoacyl-tRNA synthetases). tRNAs cope with the degeneracy of the genetic code in two manners: having more than one tRNA (with a specific anti-codon) for a particular amino acid; and 'wobble' base-pairing, i.e. permitting non-standard base-pairing at the 3rd anti-codon position.
Source: Rfam by way of RNAcentral
GAGGCAGUAGCUCAGUGGUAGAGCUCCCGCUUCGUAUGCGAGAAAACCUGAGUUCAGUUCCCGGUUGCUUCC